AGAGUUUGAUCCUUGGCUCAGGACGAACGCUGCGGCUGCCUAAUACAUGCAAGUAGAACGCUGAAGACUUUAGCUUGCUAGAGUUGGAAGAGUUGCGAACGGGUGAGUAACGCGUAGUAACCUGCCUACUAGCGGGGGAUAACUAUUGAAACGAUAGCUAAUACCGCAUAACAGUGUUUAACACAUGUUAGAUGCUUGAAAGAUGCAAUUGCAUCACUAGUAGAUGGACCUGCGUUGUAUUAGCUAGUUGGUGGGGUAACGGCCUACCAAGGCGACGAUACAUAGCCGACCUGAGAGGGUGAUCGGCCACACUGGGACUGAGACACGGCCCAGACUCUACGGGAGGCAGCAGUAGGGAAUCUUCGGCAAUGGGGGCAACCCUGACCGAGCAACGCCGCGUGAGUGAAGAAGGUUUUCGGAUCGUAAAGCUCUGUUGUAAGAGAAGAACGUGUGUGAGAGUGGAAAGUUCACACAGUGACGGUAACUUACCAGAAAGGGACGGCUAACUACGUGCCAGCAGCCGCGGUAAU
This 530-nucleotide ribosomal RNA is filed under the name Streptococcus sp. W42. RNAcentral describes it as "bacterial SSU rRNA". It matches the Rfam family "Bacterial small subunit ribosomal RNA", at positions 8 to 524 of the family's 1533-position model. The record is from RNAcentral. Lineage: Bacteria; Bacillati; Bacillota; Bacilli; Lactobacillales; Streptococcaceae.